Orbicella faveolata is the source of this 1050-nucleotide long non-coding RNA. Lineage: Eukaryota; Metazoa; Cnidaria; Anthozoa; Scleractinia; Merulinidae. The record is from RefSeq and is a predicted model, not a curated record.
AUUUUUACUAAAUAGUUUUUGACUGACACAGAUCACAAAGAACUUCGAAUGAUACUGUGCACAGUAUUUCAAGAAUAGAUUUUACUAGUCAUUUCUGCACUGCCUUGCAGCUAAUACGCUUCUUAAAGUCGUUGUUGCUCCGUACUAAAGAACUCCUUAGUUAACAAAGUUUGAAUUCCUUCUUCACUUCGAAGAGUUAAUCUUCUCGCUUUGACUUUCAUCCCAACAACAUUAAGAGAAUGGUAGCGACGGAAUACGACUUGAGGAAAACUAACGAACGUCAAUUGAUCAACGAUGUGAGGCAACGUAAAAUUACCAGAAGUUCGCCAGCUCGUCACCGAGAAUUUGUUCCAUUUCUAGGCUUGAUACUGGUUGUUUUAGCAAUGCUCGCCUACUACCUCGGAACAACGCAACGAUUCACAAUGAAAGGUAGAAAACCUGGGCUCAUAUUAAUGAGGGUGGUAAAGGGGGGGUAUAGAUCACGUUUCACGGAAAAUAAAGCAGCCCUUUCACAAUUCACGGAAAAUACAACAUUGGCAUUUCAAGCUUCACGGAAAAUAAAAGAGAACAUCUUGGAAAAUCACAGUUCACGGCGACUAUGGAAAUCACGAUUUACGAGGAAAAAAUGGCUAUUUCACAUUUCACAGGAAAUAAAAGGGCCGAUCACGGGUCACGUAAAUACCCUUUACCACCCUCAUUAAUUUGUUCACAAGAAUUUUUUCAGUGGGAGGGGUUGGGGAGGAGGGCGCUCAUUGUCUCAAAUUAAAGAAUUUUGCGUUUAGGAAAGGUUUGGGCUUAUAUUCGAAUACGGCAUAGUCUGAAGUCUCUGAAGAUAACGCUGUGAAAACAACAGUACUGCAGUCGUUAAACGAACAAUCCAUUUACUAUACCAACUAUAAAACAUGUCCCCUGCCGCAUACCCUUAUUUUCGGGCUUUUUUUUUCGAGGUGAGGGCGGGCUUUCUUCAGGGUUGGCAAUGGCAGUAGCGGUAUACCAAUAUACUUAAGAAGGCAAACCCAUUAUACCCAACAUUUUCCCUCAAAUUCAUGC